UGACGUUGGGAAAGCGAGCGGCGGAUGGGUGAGUAACACGUGGGGAACCUGCCCCUAAGUCUGGGAUACCAUUUGGAAACAGGUGCUAAUACCGGAUAAUAAAGCAGAUCGCAUGAUCAGCUUUUGAAAGGCGGCGUAAGCUGUCGCUAAGGGAUGGCCCCGCGGUGCAUUAGCUAGUUGGUAAGGUAACGGCUUACCAAGGCGACGAUGCAUAGCCGAGUUGAGAGACUGAUCGGCCACAUUGGGACUGAGACACGGCCCAAACUCCUACGGGAGGCAGCAGUAGGGAAUCUUCCACAAUGGACGCAAGUCUGAUGGAGCAACGCCGCGUGAGUGAAGAAGGUUUUCGGAUCGUAAAGCUCUGUUGUUGGUGAAGAAGGAUAGAGGUAGUAACUGGCCUUUAUUUGACGGUAAUCAACCAGAAAGUCACGGUUAACUACGUGCCAGCAGCCGCGGUAAUACGUAGGUGGCAAGCGUUGUCCGGAUUUAUUGGGCGUAAAGCGAGCGCAGGCGGAAAAAUAAGUCUAAUGUGAAAGCCCUCGGCUUAACCGAGGAACUGCAUCGGAAACUGUUUUUCUUGAGUGCAGAAGAGGAGAGUGGAACUCCAUGUGUAGCGGUGGAAUGCGUAGAUAUAUGGAAGAACACCAGUGGCGAAGGCGGCUCUCUGGUCUGCAACUGACGCUGAGGCUCGAAAGCAUGGGUAGCGAACAGGAUUAGAUACCCUGGUAGUCCAUGCCGUAAACGAUGAGUGCUAAGUGUUGGGAGGUUUCCGCCUCUCAGUGCUGCAGCUAACGCAUUAAGCACUCCGCCUGGGGAGUACGACCGCAAGGUUGAAACUCAAAGGAAUUGACGGGGGCCCGCACAAGCGGUGGAGCAUGUG
RNAcentral lists this ribosomal RNA (880 nucleotides) under uncultured bacterium. RNAcentral's name for it is "bacterial SSU rRNA". It matches the Rfam family "Bacterial small subunit ribosomal RNA", at positions 78 to 943 of the family's 1533-position model. The record is from RNAcentral.